This 497-nucleotide ribosomal RNA is filed under the name uncultured bacterium. RNAcentral describes it as "partial 16S ribosomal RNA". It matches the Rfam family "Bacterial small subunit ribosomal RNA", at positions 28 to 507 of the family's 1533-position model. The record is from RNAcentral.
GAUGAACGCUGGCGGCGUGCCUAAUACAUGCAAGUCGAGCGAACGGACGAGAAUCUUGCUUCUCUGAUGUUAGCGGCGGACGGGUGAGUAACACGUGGAUAACCUACCUAUAAGACUGGGAUAACUUCGGGAAACCGUAGCUAAUACCGGAUAAUAUUUUGAACCGCAUGGUUCAAAAGUGAAAGACGGUCUUGCUGUCACUUAUAGAUGGAUCCGCGCUGCAUUAGCUAGUUGGUAAGGUAACGGCUUACCAAGGCAACGAUGCAUAGCCGACCUGAGAGGGGGAUAGGACACACUGGAACUGAGACACGGACCAGACUCCUACGGGAGGCAGCAGUAGGGAAUCUUACGCAAUGGGCGAAAGCAUGACGGAGCAACGCCGAGUGAGUGAUGAAGGUCUUCGGAUCGUAAAACUCUGUUAUUAGGGAAGAAAAUAUGUGUAAGUAACUGUGCACAUCGUGACGGUAACUAAUCAGAAAGCCACGGCUAACUACGUG